AAAUAACAUAAAAUACACAAAAUUUCACUAAAUCCUUGUUAGGCCGAAUUCUACCCAUACUACUAGCAGCCCAUAUUUUUAGUUUAUUCACACAUUUAACCUUGAAUUUGUACACUUUUCUCAAUUUAAUCCUUAAUACACAUUUUUAUCAAAAAUCACUUAAUUAAACAUAAUAAUCUAUCAACAAAAGUUUAUAUUUCAUCAUCAAACCACAAAAACAUCAAGCUAACAUCAAUGGCAAAUUUCAAAAUCAUCACCAAUUCACAAAAUUGAAGCAUGGGCUUUAAAGAACACAAAGCAACGAUCUCAAAAACGUAAAAAUUAUCAAAAACCGAACAAAGAACUAACCUUAAUCAAAAUUCAAAAUGGCCGAACCCUUAGCUUGUUCUUUCCUUUUUCUUUUCUUUUACAUUCGGUUAGUAGAAACAAAAGAAAUGAUAAUGGCUUUUUAACUUAUGUUUGUUUUCUUAUUAUAAUAACUUUAUAAUAUAUUAUUUAUUAUUAUAACCUUUAUAAUUACUAUAAAAACUAUAUAAUAUAUACAUAGUGCCGUCCAUUCAUUAAUUCAAUGGCAAAAUUGCAACAUGAAACCUUCAUAUUAAAAGAACAACCACUAUUUGGCCUUUCUAAAAAUAACCACUAAAUUUUUAUUUUACUCGAUUAAGCCCUAUUCUCAAAUUAAGCACUUAAACAAUAAAAUUAAUUCACGAAACUUUCACAUAUAUAAAUUCACACAUAAUAAACACAGAAAAAAAAAUAUUAAAAUAUUUUUCAGACUCGGAUGUGUGGUCCCGAAACCACUGUUCCGAUUUGGGUCAAAAUCGGGCUAUUACAACUCUCCCCCACUUAGGGAUUUUCGUCCUCGAAAAUCUUACAGGUGAGUAGGUGUGGGCAACGUUCUUUCAUUGCAUCCUCUGGUUCUCAGGUUGCUUCCUCAACUCCGUGUUUAUGCCACAGUACUUUGGCUAACAAAAUUUUCUUAUUUCGUAAUUCUUUAACCUCACGAGCCAGAAUGCUAAUCGGUUCUUCUUCAUAUGACAUAUUAGACUUAAUUUCAAUCUCGGUCAAACUGGUCACAUGCGAAGGAUCGGAUCAGUAUCUAUGAAGCAUCGAAACAUGGAAUACAUUAUGAAUCUUUUCUAGUUCAGGUGGCAACAACAGUCUAUAAGCAACCGACCCGAUAUGCUCUAUAAUCUCAUAUGGUCCAAUGAAUCGCGGACUCAAUUUGCCUUUACGACCAAAUCUGAGUAUUUUCUUCCACAUUCAAAAAGACUUUAUCUUCGAUCUGAAAUUCUAUAUCCUUUCUUUUCAAGUCUGUAUAUGAUUUCUGACAAUCCGAUGCUAUUUUCAGACUAUCACGAAUCACUUUCACUUUCUGUUCAGUCUCUUUAAUCAAAUCGACCCCGUGUAUCUUAUUUUCUCUGAGCUCGGUCUAAUACAAUGGUGUACAACAUUUAAGACUGUAUAAAGCCUCGUAAAGUGCCAUUUUGAUACUAGAUUGAAAGCUAUUAUUAUAUGCAAAUUCAAUCAAAGGUAAGUAUUGAUCCUACGUACCUUCAAACUCGAGAACGCAACAUCUCAACAUAUCCUCAAGUAUCUGAAAGAUUCGUUCAGAUUGACCAUCUAUUUGCGGAUGGAAAGCUGUGCUAAAGUGUAGUUUCAUACCUAAAACAUCUUGCAGUUUCUUCCAAAAUCACGAUGUGAACCUCGGGUCUCUGUCUGAAACAAUAGAAAUAGGUACUCUAUGCAAUCUCACAAUCUGAGAAACAUAUAAUUCAGACAGCUUAUCAAGUGAAUAUUCUGUACAAACCGAAAUAAAGUGUGUUGAUUUAGUCAAUCUAUCCACAAUAACCCAGAUUGCAUCUUUCUUACUCCGUGUCAACAGUAAACUAGAUACAAAAUCCAUUGUAACUCUAUCCCACUUCCACUCGGGUAUCAUAAUCGGCUAAAGUAACCUAGAAGGUACUUGAUGCUCUACUUUCACUUGUUGACAAACUAAACAUUUCGAAAUAAAGUCAGAAAUAUCUCGUUUCAUACCAUGCCACCAAUAAAGCUAUUUCAGAUCAUUAUAUAUUUUUGUACUACCCGGGUGAACAGAUAAUCAACUAUUAUAAGCUUCGUUCAAAAUCAUAUGAAUCAACUUUGAAUUCUUCGGAACACAUAUUCAGUUUCUAAACCUCAAACAAUCAUUGGUAUCAACUCGAAACUCUGUUACACCACUCGAUUCACAUUGAGCUCGUUUUGCUAACAAAUCAUUAUCAACUUUCUGAGCAUCACAAAUUUGUUGAACAAAUAACGGUCUAGCUUUUAAUUCAGCUAUUAUCGAACCAUCAUUGGACAUAGUCAUAUGCGCAUUCAUUGCUCGCAAAGAAAACAACGAUUUUUUUUUUUACUUAAAGCAUCAGCAACAACAUUAGCCUUUCCCAGAUAAUAGUCAAGUACAAGCUCGUAGUCUUUUAACAACUCUAAGCAUCGACGUUGUCUUAAAUUCAGAUCUUUUUGAGUCAUCAAAUAUGACACAUAACUCUUUUCAUAUAGCUUUAACUAUAUGGAAUCAUAAGAUAUCUCUGUACACUCUUCUAUUAGAACACACUUCAAACCGUUCAUUGACACAUUACUGAGAAUCGUAAACUUUUUAUUCAAGUUAGGCUGAACGAGUACUGAUGUUUCGGUUGACAAUAUCUUCGUGCAAAAAGGAAAACUUCAACAAUCGAACUAACUUUAAUUUACUACAACAUUUCCCAGAUAGAAUCGUUUUGAUAGAUAUAAUUCUAUAUCAAAUCUUCAAUAAUACAAAUUCUUCUUCCAAACUAUCCCUCAAUUCACAUAUGUACGUUCAAAGUUUAUUUCCAGUCUAGUGGAUAGAUUCAAACACAUAUAACCCAAUUAUCUUUUCAAUCAAAUAAUUCAAAUCAGACUAAACCGCUGAAUCAGACUUUCGAAGAAAUCUUUUCUUCUCGUUAAAAGGAUAGCCCCAAAUAUAUCAUUUUCCAGAUUUGAUCUUGAUCUUCUAUCAUUUUCACUUUUGCCGAUGUCAAACCUUUUACGAGAACUAGAAAAGAGUUUAUGAUAAAGCUGUCUCACAUUUUAAUCAUCGAAGUUCUGAAUUAUACUGAAUUCACCUUUAUCAAAUAGAAAUCAUUGGGCCUUAAGGAGAACGAUGUCUCAACCCUAUAAAUAGAUAUUAUCCUGGCUGUUAAUAAAGCAUUUGAACACAGAAGAAAAUCAAAUAUGGUUUAAACAGCAACCAAUUCAAAAACACAACUUCUAUAACUCUGAUAACAGUACUGCAGUACUCCCAUAUUUCAAAACAAAAAUUAUAAUAGAUAUAACCAUUUCCGUCAAAUGGAUAUCUCUUAUAGAAAAUCACAUAGAAUCAUAAGAAAACCAGGAUAGCGGAAUUUCAACAUAUGAAGCUACACAUGAUAUCUGGAAAUUACAGCCCAUAUAAAAUGAUAACAAUUCCGAUGAUAUCCCAGAAAAUUUCUAAAAAGAACAAACUCAUUCAUAAAUACUGAGAUCCACAGUAACAGAAGUAAUAUAAUCUUCACGUAUAUUCAACAGAACAUUAACCAGUAGAAAUAGAAUAUUAGCCUCAUACAGAUUUUACCGUCGACUUUCAUAUCCACACAAUGGAAUAAAUACUAGAGAAAGACGGAGCAAUGUCAAACAUAACCCAAACAGACCUACGAUGCUUUUGUCUAUUAGUAUGUUUAACUAAUAUUCUUACACGAUAAGAAUUCCUUCUAAAAUUAAACAGUCACAUAUACUUCUGGGGAUAAAUGUACACAUAGAAUGCUCAGAAGAAAUCAUAGUAACUGUUCGAAUAUAACCACUGCACUCAGCCAUCAAUACCAUUCAAACAUUAUUCAACUGUCUAAUUCUGUCAUCAUUAAGUCCAUAUUAUCCCAUCAAUAACAAAAAUCAAUUUCAAAGAACUUUCAGUUAAUACCUUUCUAUAUAUAUAUCAAACCUGAAUAGUUUUAUUUCAUCAAAUUCCACUUCUUCGUUAAAAGCGACUUUGCAUAAUACGAAUGGCCAUUAAAACGAUUCAAUAUCUCUUAUAGCACUGUCUCAAUUUGCUGACCCAUUCUCUUAUCUGACCACAUUAGUAAUCUUUCAAACACAAACCUCUGUAACUCCACACUUGUGAGCUUAUUCGAUCCAAAUCUUACAGAUUUCAUUGUAAUAUUUUACUGAUAAGGGGUGAGGGUAGUAAAGCCUCAAAUUUAACUCGGACAUAAAUGCACAUAACACAUACUAUUACAAAUAGCCAAUUUAUUAACAAUUUCACAUUCUCCAAACAUUUACUAAACAUUUGCUUAUAUUCACUUUUGUUCUUAACACAUUAUUCAUAUACCAAUUCAAAUCACUAACUCACAAUCAAAGCAUUUCAGAUACCAAUCGUAACUCAAAUAUCAUAUCUCAUAUGCUCAUAUAAGUACAACAUUUAUCAAUAACAACAUGUCAUACAAUUUGGUCCUUACCUUUAUGAGUUUCUACUCAUAAUCAACACAUUUUCACUCAAACAUUUGAGUAUUUACUUUUGUACUAUCAGAAUUAGCUCGGUUGGAAAAACACAUCUGUCUCACCAAAACAAUUUUCGUCAGAGUCGGGAGAUAUCACACUAUCACAAGUUAUAUAUGGCAUGUAUAGCUAGACUUACAUUAGCUAUGUUAGUCCUAGAACCGACUAAACCAUAGCUCUGAUACCAAUAAAAUGUAACACCCCUAACCCGUGUCCGUCGCCGAACUAAGGUUACGAGGUAUUACCAAACAAAACACAGUUCAAAACAGACAUUCUUUACAAAUCAUAGGCCCAGUAAUGUAUUCUCCCUUAUAAAAUUUUUCGAAAUAAAUUGAUAAACCAACCUCUUAUUCAUACAAGUCAAAAUCAUUUAUUCGAAUCACAUAUCUAACCACACAUAUCAUGCCUUAUCGAACAUUCUCUUAUAUGAACUAUAUUUCAAUAUCUAACCAUUUCAAUUACGUUUGCUAAUUCAAAACUUUCAAGCCAAGCCAUCAAAUAUCAAAACCAAACUAAAUAACAAACGUAAUAUUUAAUAAAAAUUAUACAUACACCUGUUAAACUAAUUUAGCCAUAUCUCACAGUUUAAUAACCAUUUGCACAUAAAACGUUAGGUAACUUUAUACAUAACCAACUAAGUUUUUUUUUACAUCAUCCAACCAUGUGCAUAACACCCUAAAACCAAAAGUCAUUUCUAAAUUCAAUUACCAAAUCAUAGCAUUUUAAACAUUAUAACCUUAUGUACAUUUUACUAAAUCAAAUUUAACCAUUUUCGAAUACAAAUGCCAAGUCAUAAAAUAUCUAAUUUGCAAGCUAAAUAGCAUAUCUAACAUGUUAUAUUCAACCACACACAUGAACCCCAUACCUAAUUCGCAUGCGAAUUAUCAUGCCUAUAAUUCAUAUACACAACCAAUUAAUAUUUUCAAUAAUCAAUCAUUCAAUUAACCUCCAUAUCAAUUAGAUCAUAUACAUUCUUUGUCAUUCAAAAAUCGAGCCUAAAUAGUCAAAUACCAUAGCCGAACAUAUAACUACCUAUAUAUAUAACACAUUUUAUAACCAUCAUUGAAUCAAUGAUUUGACCUUUUUAAAACGAAACUACAAGCAAACAUUAAAUAGGCAUAUGUAUUCAUAUCUCAAAUGUCCAACAAUUUAAAAAAAUAACCUUUCGGUUAUCAAAUUUAACUCAAUAAAUCAUAACAUCUCCAUCACCCAGUCUAUAAGAUAAACAUAGUAUCUCAUAUCUUAACAUCAAAACAAUAUGUCAUUUAUAGAUAUUCAAAUGACCCCUUUUACCAAACCAUAUUAUACCACUUUUCAUGCCACCAAAGUAAGUUAAUUAAUAAGCCGAAUAUAUACCCUACUUACCACUUCUCAUUGCCAAAUCAUAUAACCAACAUCACAACAUAUUUACCAUAAAUCAUACCUCUCAAUUAAGCUUAUAACAUGACCAAAAAUAAUUGCCAACAUUUGCAUCAUGAACAAGCCAUUUUCGCAUGGCUAUAUACAUAUACAAAUUUCAAAAAUCAAAUAUAUCAAAACUAGCCUAUACAUGCCACAUAACCAAAUCUCAAAGCGUUUAUUUACCGAAAUGAAUACGGGAUAGUGUGAUGAGAUCUCCCAAGACUUCCAACCAGAGCAAGUCUCCGAAACUCUAUAACAUAGGAAAAACACACAGAGUAAGCUUUGAAAGCUUAGUAAGCCAUAAGCAAAUAAAUCAUUCCAAUAAUGUUUAUAAUUCAAUUUAACUAAGCUGAAUUUAAAAAAAAAUCUCAACCACAUAUACAUUCAUCAUAAUCUCAAUUUCUUAAGACCACACUAGGUAACUUCACUAGAGUUAAUUAUGGAUGGACAUAUAAACCGUUUUUUUCAAAUUUAUAUAUCUACCAUUAGCUCAUUCGUAGGAUUAAGCUUCCACAAUUUCAUUACAUACCAACCGAAUCAUGAUCAUUUAUUACAAUUUAUUCGUAAAAAAUAUAUCAAUUUCUUUUUAUACACUUCCAAGCCCGAAUAAGCAUAACAAUUCACAUCUCAUUUUCACAUAAAUUAUAUAACGAAUAAUCAUAAUCAUACUUACUUUCAUUGCUCAAAUUCAUAUUCAUCACAAACAUACCUGAUUCGGCUGCACACUCAUAUACUCAUUUAUUUCUCGGAAUACCCCGUUGAACCGUUCAGAAUCAAAUAGGAUACUUGGAUAGCUCAAAAAAAAUCGUACAAUGCCAACGUCCCAGACGUGGUCUUACAUGUAAUCAAUAUCGAUGCCACUGUCCCAGACAGGGUCUUACACGAAAUCAAAUAUGAUGCCGAUGUCCCAGACAUGGUCUUAUACAUAAAUCUCAAAUCGAUGCCAACGUCCCAGACGUGGUCUUACACGAUAACAUAUAUCGGAAUCCUAUGUCAUGACAUAUGUAUCCUAACUAUUCCUAUGGUUCGUACGGGGCUUUUCAGACGUCGUAAUUCUAUUGAUUCAAGCUCGUAACUAGUUCUCCAACUCUAAAUUCAAUUCAGCAUAUGCACAUAUAUUUAUUAAAGAUAAAUUCAGCACAUAUAACAUAUAUACAUUCAAAUUUAACAGCAUUUAUUUACUUAUGAACUUACCUCGUACGAACGCGAACGGACCGGAACGACUAAUCGAUAACUUCCGAUUUUCCCGAUCCAAGUCCGAUUUCCACUUUUUCCAAUCUAAUUAAUAUCAAAUUUAACUUAAUUAUUCAACAUUUCAUUAAAUUUUCAUUCAAGAACAUAUAAAUGGAAAUUUGCAUUUUAGCCCCUAACAUUUUGCAUUUUUCUCAAUUUAGUCCUUAUUUCAAAAUAACAUAAAAUACACAAAAUUUCACUAAAUCCUUGUUAGGCCGAAUUCUACCCAUACUACUAGCAGCCCAUAUUUUUAGUUUAUUCACACAUUUAACCUUGAAUUUGUACACUUUUCUCAAUUUAAUCCUUAAUACACAUUUUUAUCAAAAAUCACUUAAUUAAACAUAAUAAUCUAUCAACAAAAGUUUAUAUUUCAUCAUCAAACCACAAAAAC
Molecule: long non-coding RNA, 7552 nt
Filed under: Gossypium barbadense (sea-island cotton)
Lineage: Eukaryota; Viridiplantae; Streptophyta; Magnoliopsida; Malvales; Malvaceae
Description: long non-coding RNA (GBAR_LNC015813)
Source: RNAcentral